UACAGAGGUGGCGAGCGUUGUUCGGAAUUACUGGGCGUAAAGCGCGCGUAGACGGCCAUGUGUGUGGGGUGUGAAAUCUCCGGGCUCAACCCGGAAAGUGCGCCCGAGACUGCCUGGCUCGAGUUCCGGAGGGGGGAUCGGAAUGUAGGGUGUAGCGGUGAAAUGCGUUGAUAUCCUACAGAACACCGGUGGCGAAGGCGGAUCCCUGGAACGAAACUGACGCUGAGGCGCGAAAGCAAGGGGAGCAAACAGG
This 253-nucleotide ribosomal RNA is filed under the name uncultured bacterium. Its description in RNAcentral is "partial 16S ribosomal RNA". It matches the Rfam family "Bacterial small subunit ribosomal RNA", at positions 524 to 776 of the family's 1533-position model. The record is from RNAcentral.